AACGCCCCGAAAUUCAUGUAUCAACUUGGCGGAAGAGAAUGAAUAUCAGGGCGUAGGUAAAAAACCUAGAAAGGAUAUUAGCACAUGAGACGUGCAACACAACAGCCCGCCAUAAGC
Molecule: non-coding RNA, 117 nt
Organism: Triticum urartu
Lineage: Eukaryota; Viridiplantae; Streptophyta; Magnoliopsida; Poales; Poaceae
Source: Rfam